RNAcentral lists this ribosomal RNA (480 nucleotides) under Microhyla zeylanica. RNAcentral's name for it is "partial large subunit ribosomal RNA". The stretch from base 163 to 480 matches the Rfam family "Bacterial large subunit ribosomal RNA", at positions 566 to 1035 of the family's 2925-position model. Lineage: Eukaryota; Metazoa; Chordata; Amphibia; Anura; Microhylidae. The record is from RNAcentral.
CCAAAAACUUAGCUCCAUCACCCCUAAUGCCCACCCAUCAACUCAUUUAAUAAAAUAAAACAUUUUAUCUUUAUAGUAAAGGCGAUUAAAAAAUAUCUUGAAGCUAUAGAAACUAGUACCGCAAGGGAAUAGUGAAAUAAAGAUGAAAACCUUUAAGCACCAAAAAGCAGAGCCACAACCUCGUACCUUUUGCAUCAUGGUUUAACUAGUCUAAUCAGACAAAGCGCACUUUAAGCCUGACCCCCCGAAACUAGGUGAGCUACUUAAAAACAGCCUUUAGAGCCAACCCGUCUCUGUUGCAAAAGAGUGGGAAGAUUAUUAAGUAGAGGUGAUAGACCUACCGAACCUAGAGAUAGCUGGUUAUUCAGGAAAAGAACUUAAGUCCUACCUUAGGUUUAUUAUAAUAUGAGUAUUCAACAAACCUUAAGAGCUAUUCAAACAAGGUACAGCCUGCUUGAAAAAGGAUACAACCUCAACUAG